GACGAACGCUGGCGGCGUGCUUAACACAUGCAAGUCGAACGGAAAGGCCCUGCUUUUGUUUGGUUCUCGAUUGGCGAACGGGGGAGUAACACGUGAGUAACCUGCCCUUGACUUUGUGAUAACUCCACGAAACUGGGGCUAAUACCGGAUAUGAUCUCCUGCUGCAUGGUGUGGGUAGGAAAGUGUCGGCGGUUGGGGAUCGACUCGCUGCUUAUCAGCUUCUUGGUGUGGUUGUUGCUGACCAAGGGUUUGACGGCUAGCCGGCCUGAGAGGGUUACCGGCCACAUUGGGACUGCGAUACGGACCAGAAUGCUACGGGCGGCAGCAGUGGGGAAUCUUGCGCAAUGGGCGGACGCCUGAUGCAGAAACGCCGCGUGCGGGAUGACGGCUUUCGGGUUGUAAACAGAUUUCGAAUGUGAUGAAGCGUGAGUGACGGUAAUGAGUAAAAAAGCAACGGCUAACUACGUG
Molecule: ribosomal RNA, 468 nt
Filed under: uncultured bacterium
Lineage: Bacteria
Description: partial 16S ribosomal RNA
Rfam family: Bacterial small subunit ribosomal RNA
Source: RNAcentral